GAUGAACGCUGGCGGCGUGCUUAACACAUGCAAGUCGAGCGGAGAUAAGAUAAAAGCUUGCUUUUAACUUAUCUUAGCGGCGGACGGGUGAGUAACGUGUGGGCAACCUGCCUCAUACAGAGGGAUAAUCAUGUGAAAACGUGACUAAUACCUCAUGUCAUUGCCGGAAGGCAUCUUCAGGCAAGAAAAGGAGUAAUCCGGUAUGAGAUGGGCCCGCAUCUGAUUAGCUAGUUGGUGAGAUAAUAGCCCACCAAGGCAACGAUCAGUAGCCGACCUGAGAGGCGGACGGCCACAUUGGGACUGAGACACGGCCCAAACUCCUACGGGAGGCAGCAGUAGGGAAUUUUUCGCAAUGGGGGAAACCCUGAACGAGCAAUGCCGCGUGAGUGAGGAAGGUCUUCGGAUCGUAAAGCUCUGUUGUAAGAGAAAAACGGCACUCAUAGGGAAUGAUGAGUGAGUGAUGGUAUCUUACCAGAAAGUCACGGCUAAC
Molecule: ribosomal RNA, 490 nt
Filed under: uncultured bacterium
Lineage: Bacteria
Description: bacterial SSU rRNA
Rfam family: Bacterial small subunit ribosomal RNA
Source: RNAcentral